RNAcentral lists this long non-coding RNA (1215 nucleotides) under Scleropages formosus (Asian bonytongue). RNAcentral's name for it is "lncRNA (ENSSFOG00015028989.1)". The record is from RNAcentral. Lineage: Eukaryota; Metazoa; Chordata; Actinopteri; Osteoglossiformes; Osteoglossidae.
AUGUGCUUAAAAAUUCAGAAGGAUCCUUCAAGGGUCCUGGGUUCUAAUCGGUUUCAGCUGUUUGAACUUGUUUAUUUAAUGUCUGGGCAGUACAGACUGUUUGUUUUGUUCGAUGUUAAACAGUACAUACAUGUUUAUGUGUUAAUUGUCCCAGUUUUUCUCGCCCGUUUUUUCGACGCUCGUCUCCUUCCCCCGAUGGACUCCAACUUUGGUACCCAACAGGAUGAAGAGCAGAGGCAGGAAGUGGGCGACUUCACCGUAAGUCCACAGCGCUUAAGAACCAGUUCAAAGAAACUGUUUGCGGCUCUUUCUUUGGUCUCCUAUUCCGGUUAUGGAUUUCCAUAUUGCAUCCCUCAUCACAGCGUCCAGGGGGUUGGCUCAUCGAACCCCUCACCAAGCCACAGUGCUGGCCAUGCCACAUUCACCCUAGAGCAUUCUACGUCUGACAGAUCCACCCAAGAAGGUGUCCUGUGUAUAGCUGUCACCCGUUCCUCAUGUCUCUGAUGUUGUGUCUCACGCACUGCGCCUUACAGAAGGAGUAUGCAGUUAUGCAGACAUUUUUGCUAUAACAUAUAAGAGGUUGUCUCUAGUGAAGCAUGAUAAUAUAAAAAGUUUAUUUCAGUUCAUCCUUAUUGGAAGCAAGUAAUUGCAGUAAAAGUUUCACUUUUCAGUUUAUAUGUGACCCUGUGAGGUUCAGGGUCACAAGCACAGAGUGAAAAGUAAUACUGUAAUACAGAGGAAAAUGAACACUGAACACAUUGUGGUUUGACAUGUAUAGAAAGUCAGCUUUAUGAAAAAAAAAUACAUAUAUCUUUAAUUUUUUUUUUAAUACACAUACAUAUUUGUGUUUUUUUUUUUUUUUUCUUUCGCUGCAGCUUCAGUUACGGAGACUUCCCUGUCUUCCCUGAUGAAAGAACUUGACUUUGGUAUGUGAACAAACCUUAUAUAUCUAAGUACAUCUGAUGUCUGCAACUACAGAAGCUGUUGUUAGGUGGAUUUUAAAGAUUUUUUUUCUAAUUCUGUAAUCUGGUAUAAACUGCUUUAUUGUUGUUGAGUUUCUUUUUAUGCAAACACUGAAAUAUAGGCAUGCAUAUAUGGCUUAUUAAGUCUUAGAGAUAUUAUUUACUCUAUCAUGGUGACCAUUGAAAAGAGAAGAAAUCAUCUCAGUCUUUACCGGUUGAACACAAAUAAAUUAACACCACUAGGAAAACUGCA